UACGGGGGGGGCAAGCGUUGUUCGGAAUUACUGGGCGUAAAGGGCUUGUAGGCGGCCAACUAAGUCCGACGUGAAAUCCCCAGGCUUAACCUGGGAACUGCGUCGGAUACUGGAUGGCUUGAAUCCGGGAGAGGGAUGCGGAAUUCCAGGUGUAGCGGUGAAAUGCGCAGAUAUCGGGAGGAACACCGGUGGCGAAGGCGGUUCUCUGGGCCUGACCUGACGCUGAGGAGCGAAAGCGUGGGGAGCGAACAGG
Molecule: ribosomal RNA, 253 nt
Filed under: uncultured bacterium
Lineage: Bacteria
Description: partial 16S ribosomal RNA
Rfam family: Bacterial small subunit ribosomal RNA
Source: RNAcentral